Molecule: ribosomal RNA, 496 nt
Filed under: uncultured bacterium
Lineage: Bacteria
Description: partial 16S ribosomal RNA
Rfam family: Bacterial small subunit ribosomal RNA
Source: RNAcentral
GAUGAACGCUGGCGGCGUGCCUAAUACAUGCAAGUCGAGCGAACGGACGAGAAGCUUGCUUCUCUGAUGUUAGCGGCGGACGGGUGAGUAACACGUGGAUAACCUACCUAUAAGACUGGGAUAACUUCGGGAAACCGGAGCUAAUACCGGAUAAUAUUUUGAACCGCAUGGUUCAAAAGUGAAAGACGGUCUUGCUGUCACUUAUAGAUGGAUCCGCGCUGCAUUAGCUAGUUGGUAAGGUAACGGCUUACCAAGGCAACGAUGCAUAGCCGACCUGAGAGGGUGAUCGGCCACACUGGAACUGAGACACGGUCCAGACUCCUACGGGAGGCAGCAGUAGGGAAUCUUCCGCAAUGGGCGAAAGCCUGACGGAGCAACGCCGCGUGAGUGAUGAAGGUCUUCGGAUCGUAAAACUCUGUUAUUAUGGAAGAACAUAUGUGUAAGUAACUGUGCACAUCUUGACGGUACCUAAUCAGAAAGCCACGGCGAACUACGU